AAUGCCCCAUGGUGAUGUCCUCAGGCAUCUGAGGUCAUCUAAAGAUCCGUCGGAUGGGGAUAGGCUCGCGUGACAUUAGCUAGACGGCGGGGUAACGGCCCACCGUGGCGACGAUGUCUAGGGGUUCUGAGAGGAAGGUCCCCCACACUGGAACUGAGACACGGUCCAGACUCCUACGGGAGGCAGCAGUGAGGAAUAUUGGUCAAUGGCCGGAAGGCUGAACCAGCCAUGCCGCGUGAAGGUCAGUGCCCUAUGGGCGUUAAACUUCUUUUGUGCGGGAGCAAUAAUGGUCACGUGUGGCUAGACGAGAGUACCGUACGAAUAAGCAUCGGCUAACUCCGUGCCAGCAGCCGCGGUAAUACGGGGGAUGCAAGCGUUAUCCGGAUUUAUUGGGUUUAAAGGGUGCGUAGGCUGUGAGGUAAGUCAGCGGUGAAAUGCCCCCGCUCAACGGGGUGAAGUGCCAUUGAUACUGCCUUGCUGGAAUGCGGAUGCCGUGGGAGGAAUGUGUGGUGUAGCGGUGAAAUGCAUAGAUAUCACACAGAACACCGAUUGCGAAGGCAUCUCACGAAUCCGCGAUUGACGCUGAUGCACGAAAGCGUGGGUAUCAAACAGGAUUAGAUACCCUGGUAGUCCACGCUGUAAACGAUGAUGACUAACCGUCGGCGAUACACAGUCGGUGGCCAAGC
This 686-nucleotide ribosomal RNA is filed under the name uncultured bacterium. RNAcentral's name for it is "bacterial SSU rRNA". It matches the Rfam family "Bacterial small subunit ribosomal RNA", at positions 165 to 852 of the family's 1533-position model. The record is from RNAcentral.